CCUACGGGGUGCAGCAGUGAGGAAUAUUGGUCAAUGGACGAGAGUCUGAACCAGCCAAGUAGCGUGAAGGAUGACUGCCCUAUGGGUUGUAAACUUCUUUUAUAUGGGAAUAAAACGUUCCACGUGUGGGACUUUGUAUGUACCAUAUGAAUAAGGAUCGGCUAACUCCGUGCCAGCAGCCGCGGUAAUACGGAGGAUCCGAGCGUUAUCCGGAUUUAUUGGGUUUAAAGGGAGCGUAGGUGGAUUGUUAAGUCAGUUGUUAAAGUUUGCGGCUCAACCGUAAAAUUGCAGUUGACACUGGCAGUCUUGAGUACAGUAGAGGUGGGCGGAAUUCGUGGUGUAGCGGUGAAAUGCUUAGAUAUCACGAAGAACUCCGAUUGCGAAGGCAGUUCACGGGACUGCAACUGACACUGAGGCUCGAAAGUGUGGGUAUCAAACAGGAUUAGAUACCCUAGUAGUC
This 460-nucleotide ribosomal RNA is filed under the name uncultured bacterium. Its description in RNAcentral is "partial 16S ribosomal RNA". It matches the Rfam family "Bacterial small subunit ribosomal RNA", at positions 338 to 795 of the family's 1533-position model. The record is from RNAcentral.